Molecule: ribosomal RNA, 374 nt
Filed under: uncultured Alphaproteobacteria bacterium
Lineage: Bacteria; Pseudomonadati; Pseudomonadota; Alphaproteobacteria
Description: bacterial SSU rRNA
Rfam family: Bacterial small subunit ribosomal RNA
Source: RNAcentral
GAGUUUGAUCGUGGCUCAGAGCGAGCGCUGGCGGCAGGCUUAACACAUGCAAGUCGAGCGGCCGUAGCAAUACGGCAGCGGCAGACGGGAGAGUAACACGUGGGAACGUGCCUAUCAGUUCGGAACAACCCAGGGAAACUUGGGCUAAUACCGGAUACGCCCUUACGGGGAAAGAUUUAUCGCUGAUAGAGCGGCCCGCGUCUGAUUAGCUUGUUGGUGAGGUAACGGCUCACCAAGGCGACGAUCAGUAGCUGGUCUGAGAGGAUGAUCAGCCUCACUGGGACUGAGACACGGCCCAGACUCCUACGGGAGGCAGCAGUGGGGAAUAUUGGACAAUGGGCGCAAGCCUGAUCCAGCCAUGCCGCGUGGAUGAU